This 315-nucleotide ribosomal RNA is filed under the name Klebsiella pneumoniae. RNAcentral's name for it is "partial 23S ribosomal RNA". It matches the Rfam family "Bacterial large subunit ribosomal RNA", at positions 1653 to 1978 of the family's 2925-position model. Lineage: Bacteria; Pseudomonadati; Pseudomonadota; Gammaproteobacteria; Enterobacterales; Enterobacteriaceae. The record is from RNAcentral.
ACCGACACAGGUAGUCGAGGCGAGUAGCCUCAGGUGAGCGAGAGAACUCUCGUUAAGGAACUCGGCAAAAUUACCCCGUAACUUCGGGAGAAGGGGUGCUGACUUUAAGUCAGCCGCAGUGAAUAGGCCCAAGCAACUGUUUAUCAAAAACACAGCUCUCUGCUAAAUCGUAAGAUGAUGUAUAGGGGGUGACGCCUUCCCGGUGCUGGAAGGUUAAGAGGAAUGCUUAGCGUAAGCGAAGGUAUGAAUUCAAGCCCCAGUAAACGGCGGCCGAAACUAUAACCGUCCUAAGAUAGCGAAAUUACUUAUCGGGUA